GAGAAGACUACGCACAGUAUACUGCUGAUUCCCUACAACCAAAAAGACCACAAAUCUUCACAUUAAUGCGACUUUUGCAUAAAUCAUCUUUGGAAAGAUACAGAUCUCAGCUUCCUGCUGCAUCUGCCAGGCCUGCUUGCUGCUAUGCUCCCCUACUGUGAUGGUGAUGGGCUCAUCCCUCUGGAACUCAGAUUCUUCAUGGUUAGUCAUGACCUGUCACAAGACCCUCACUGGUGGGAUUCCAACGUGAAGGGAACUUCUUC
Long non-coding RNA from Microtus oregoni (creeping vole), 263 nucleotides. RefSeq lists it as uncharacterized. The transcript is spliced from 3 exons. The record is from RefSeq and is a predicted model, not a curated record. Lineage: Eukaryota; Metazoa; Chordata; Mammalia; Rodentia; Cricetidae.